UAGCGUUGUUCGGAAUUAUUGGGCGUAAAGCGCGUGUAGGCGGCUCCUUAAGUCUGAUGUGAAAGCCCUGGGCUCAACCCGGGAAGUGCAUUGGAAACUGGGGAACUUGAAUACGGGAGAGGGUAGUGGAAUUCCUGGUGUAGGAGUGAAAUCCGUAGAUAUCAGGAGGAACACCGGUGGCGAAGGCGGCUACCUGGACCGAUAUUGACGCUGAGACGCGAAAGCGUGGGGAGCAAACAGGAUUAGAUACCCUGGUAGUCCACGCCGUAAACGAUGAGUACUAGGUGUUGCGGGUAUUGACCCCUGCAGUGCC
Molecule: ribosomal RNA, 313 nt
Filed under: uncultured delta proteobacterium
Lineage: Bacteria; Deltaproteobacteria
Description: bacterial SSU rRNA
Rfam family: Bacterial small subunit ribosomal RNA
Source: RNAcentral